This 702-nucleotide ribosomal RNA is filed under the name uncultured beta proteobacterium. RNAcentral describes it as "bacterial SSU rRNA". It matches the Rfam family "Bacterial small subunit ribosomal RNA", at positions 48 to 745 of the family's 1533-position model. Lineage: Bacteria; Pseudomonadati; Pseudomonadota; Betaproteobacteria. The record is from RNAcentral.
CUUACACAUGCAAGUCGAACGGCAGCACGGACUUCGGUCUGGUGGCGAGUGGCGAACGGGUGAGUAAUAUAUCGGAACAUACCCAGUAGUGGGGGAUAACUAUCCGAAAGGAUAGCUAAUACCGCAUACGAUCUGUGGAUGAAAGCAGGGGAUCUUCGGACCUUGUGCUAUUGGAAUGGCCGAUAUCUGAUUAGCUAGUUGGUAGGGUAAAAGCCUACCAAGGCGACGAUCAGUAGCUGGUCUGAGAGGACGACCAGCCACACUGGAACUGAGACACGGUCCAGACUCCUACGGGAGGCAGCAGUGGGGAAUUUUGGACAAUGGGGGCAACCCUGAUCCAGCAAUGCCGCGUGAGUGAAGAAGGCCCUCGGGUUGUAAAGCUCUUUUGUCAGGGAAGAAACGGAGUUCUCUAAUAUAGGAUUCUAAUGACGGUACCUGAAGAAUAAGCACCGGCUAACUACGUGCCAGCAGCCGCGGUAAUACGUAGGGCGCAAGCGUUAAUCGGAAUUACUGGGCGUAAAGCGUGCGCAGGCGGUUUUGUAAGUCUGAUGUGAAAUCCCCGGGCUCAACCUGGGAACUGCAUUGGAGACUGCAAGGCUAGAGUGUGUCAGAGGGGGGUAGAAUUCCACGUGUAGCAGUGAAAUGCGUAGAGAUGUGGAGGAAUACCGAUGGCGAAGGCAGCCCCCUGGGAUAACACUGACG